UUUGUACUCCCUCCGUCCAAAAAUUCUAUUCUUAAAUUUGUCUAAAUACGGCUGUAUCUAGUUACAUUUUAGUGUUAGAUACAUCCGUAUCUAAACAAAUGUAAGACAAGAAUUUUGGGACGGAGGGAAUACUAC
Triticum aestivum (bread wheat) is the source of this 135-nucleotide non-coding RNA. The record is from Rfam. NCBI's taxonomy places the organism in Eukaryota, Viridiplantae, Streptophyta, Magnoliopsida, Poales, Poaceae.